RNAcentral lists this ribosomal RNA (484 nucleotides) under uncultured bacterium. Its description in RNAcentral is "partial 16S ribosomal RNA". It matches the Rfam family "Bacterial small subunit ribosomal RNA", at positions 30 to 507 of the family's 1533-position model. The record is from RNAcentral.
AUUGAACGCUGGCGGCAGGCCUAACACAUGCAAGUCGAGCGGAUGAAGGGAGCUUGCUCCUGGAUUCAGCGGCGGACGGGUGAGUAAUGCCUAGGAAUCUGCCUGGUAGUGGGGGAUAACGUCCGGAAACGGGCGCUAAUACCGCAUACGUCCUGAGGGAGAAAGUGGGGGAUCUUCGGACCUCACGCUAUCAGAUGAGCCUAGGUCGGAUUAGCUAGUUGGUGGGGUAAAGGCCUACCAAGGCGACGAUCCGUAACUGGUCUGAGAGGAUGAUCAGUCACACUGGAACUGAGACACGGACCAGACUCCUAAGGGAGGCAGCAGUGGGGAAUAUUGGACAAUGGGCGAAAGCCUGAUACAGCCAUGGCGCGUGUGUGAAGAAGGUCUUCGGAUUGUAAAGCACUUUAAGUUGGGAGGAAGGGCAGUAAGUUAAUACCUUGCUGUUUUGACGUUACCAACAGAAUAAGCACCGGCUAACUUCGUG